CCUACGGGAGGCAGCAGUGGGGAAUCUUGCGCAAUGGGCGAAAGCCUGACGCAGCAACGCCGCGUGCGGGAAGAAGGCUUUCGGGCUGUAAACCGCUUUCAGCAGGAACGAAAAUGACGGUACCUGCAGAAGAAGGAGCGGCCAACUAUGUGCCAGCAGCCGCGGUGAUACAUAGGCUUCAAGCGUUGUCCGGAUUUAUUGGGCGUAAAGAGUUCGUAGGCGGUCGAGUAAGUCGGGUGUGAAAAUUCUGGGCUCAACCCAGAGACGCCACCCGAUACUGCUUGACUUGAGUUCGAUAGGGGAGUGGGGAAUUCCUAGUGUAGCGGUGAAAUGCGCAGAUAUUAGGAGGAACACCGGUGGCGAAGGCGCCACUCUGGAUCGAUACUGACGCUGAGGAACGAAAGCAUGGGUAGCAAACAGGAUUAGAUACCCUGGUAGUCCAUGCCGUAAACGGUGGGCACUAGGUGUGGGUUUCUAUUAACGAAAUCCGCGCCGUCGCUAACGCAUUAAGUGCCCCGCCUGGGGAGGUACGGUCGCGAGAACUAAACUAACAAAGAAAGUAGACGCGUGAGACGAGCGACGACGACGACGAGGAGAGG
RNAcentral lists this ribosomal RNA (599 nucleotides) under uncultured bacterium. Its description in RNAcentral is "bacterial SSU rRNA". It matches the Rfam family "Bacterial small subunit ribosomal RNA", at positions 338 to 961 of the family's 1533-position model. The record is from RNAcentral.